CCUACGGGCGGCAGCAGUGGGGAAUAUUGCACAAUGGGGGAAACCCUGAUGCAGCGACGCCGCGUGAGUGAAGAAGUAUUUCGGUAUGUAAAGCUCUAUCAGCAGGGAAGAAGCAAGACGGUACCUGACUAAGAAGCCCCGGCUAAAUACGUGCCAGCAGCCGCGGUAAUACGUAGGGAGCAAGCGUUAUCCGGAUUUACUGGGUGUAAAGGGGGCGUAGACGGCUGCGCAAGUAUGAAGGGAAAGCCCAGGGCUCAACCCUGGGCCUGCCUUGGAAACUGGGGCGCUAGAGUGCUGGAGAGGUAAGUGGAAUGCCUAGUGUAGCGGUGAAAUGCGUAGAUAUUAGGCGGAACCCCAGUGGCGAAGGCGGCUUACCGGAUAGCAACUGACACUGAGGCUCGAAAGUGUGGGUAUCAAACAGGAUUAGAUACCCGUGUAGUC
RNAcentral lists this ribosomal RNA (441 nucleotides) under uncultured bacterium. Its description in RNAcentral is "partial 16S ribosomal RNA". It matches the Rfam family "Bacterial small subunit ribosomal RNA", at positions 338 to 795 of the family's 1533-position model. The record is from RNAcentral.